Molecule: ribosomal RNA, 253 nt
Filed under: uncultured bacterium
Lineage: Bacteria
Description: partial 16S ribosomal RNA
Rfam family: Bacterial small subunit ribosomal RNA
Source: RNAcentral
UACGAAGGGGGCUAGCGUUGCUCGGAAUCACUGGGCGUAAAGGGUGCGUAGGCGGGCCUUUAAGUCAGAGGUGAAAUCCUGGAGCUCAACUCCAGAACUGCCUUCGAUACUGGCGAUCUUGAGUCCGGAAGAGGUGAGUGGAACUCCUAGUGUAGAGGUGGAAUUCGUAGAUAUUAGGAAGAACACCAGUGGCGAAGGCGGCUCACUGGUCCGGUACUGACGCUGAGGUGCGAAAGCGUGGGGAGCAAACAGG